GAGAGCUCCGCGCGCCAGACGGCGCGGGCGGGGCGGAGGCUCUCAGCCAAUCGGCGCCCGGCGCGAACCGCGCGCGGCCAACGGGAGGCGGCGGGCGGCGUGAUCGCGGCGUGCAGGGGCGCUGCCGGCGGUUAAAGCCGUUCCCCCUCGUCCCGCCGCUACCCGCUCACGUCAAACGCCCGUUUCCUCAUUACAUAUCCGCUCACGGGAGGAGCGGCCCCCGCGCACGCCCACCCACGUCCCGCCCGGGGGCCGAGCUCCCGGUUAGGUCCCAGCGACGAACGGAUAAAGUACGAGCCGCGCCCCGUGCCCGGCCCUGCCCCGCAGCCCUCCCACCCACGCCGCGUCACACCUAAACGGGGCCCGUCCGCGCAAGCCGGGACCCCGGGAAGCCGCCAAUGGGGAGGCGGGGCCGGGAGCCGCGGCUCAACGCCGGGCUGCGAGCGGGGCGAGGACAGCGGCGGCUCCACGCGGCACCUCGGAGGGCAGCCGCGCCCCCCCGCCUCUCCCUCAGCCCCGGCUGCCCCUCCCGUGACGGCUCCACGCACAAAAGAGUCGCCGGUUAGAAAUGGAACAUAUAAAAUUUAAUAGCUUGGUUUAAAAUACGUUUUCAAUUAAAAAACAGCAGGCAAAACCAAACAGUCAGUUCCGUAACACAUACACGAGGUUGCUGCUACAGUGAGAAGACCCGCGUCCCAGAGAGCCUGAGAGGAAAAACCCAUCAGAUUUAGCCCACCUACUUCAUUACGCAGUAAAAAAAAAAGAACUAACGGUUGUGCCAAUCCUACCCCUACGGAAACCCCAAACUACUUCCCUGACCCCAGACUGAGUUUCUGCGAUAGAACUUCCACUUCCGAUACAAAUAUAUGAUACGUGUUGGAUAUAUGAGGUUUAAGAAGCCCCCUCGCUCACACGGGCAGCCCCACGGCGGUGCCGGCUCAGCCCAGGCCCCAGCAGGCCGUUAGCAGGAGGGCACGCGGUGCCGGCAGAGGGGAGGAUUGGGAAUGGGACGCUGUGUGAGCCUCCUUGGGGUCGGCCCAGGCAUAAAUCCCAAAAUCCUAAGGUUCAUAAAGUCAUAAAAUAACAAAAUAUAUGGCAAGGAGGGAUCUCAGGUAGGGAGCUCGUCCCAGCACCGGGGCAGCAUUAACUGUACCCGCAGCCACCAGGGGAUGUCAUCCGGCCUGGCUCUGGGGAGCUCUGACGCCAAAGGCCACAGCCCUCCCUGAGCAACCUUCUCCAUCGGCAACCUGAAUUUCUGCAAUUGAAGCCCACCACAAGGACUGGGAGCACGGAUCCGCACGCUUGGAGGCUCUGCUCCCUCAGCCCCGAGCUCCCGGCGGGACGGCAGUGGGAAGGGCCUACUUUGCCAGCCCGCUUCUCCAGCCUAUCCAGGUCAACCCAGGGCAACGCACGCUCAGCCCCCCGCUGCUUUGGGGCUGCCUCAGAACACUGUAAACCUCCCAUUAACGCAGACCACUGCCAGCAGCACACGGUGGCACCGCUCCCGGUGCUUCGUAGCUGCUCACGUCCCACCCUGCGGUGCAGGCGGCUGCAGCCAUGGCUGUGCACCUCUGCCUUGCUGCUAACCAGAGGGCAUCUUCCCUUCCUAAGCACAAAAGGCACAAUGAGUAAGCACCAGAGAGCCUACCGCAGUGGCUGGUUUUGGUUUCUGGCAGCUGGGACCAGGCCGACUGCUGCUACCAGCUGCCCUCGUUGGUUCUCCCACCAGCUCGGUGCUGCACGAUGCACACCAGCAGCAAUCAGCCUGUCCGUGGCCCCGGUUCUCCGCUGCAGCACCCAACACCUUGCCAAGCACUGGAUUUCCCCAGACCGAGCUGCUGCCACAGGGCUUGGCAGAGGUCUGGGGGAACCCUAAGCAUACCGCCCCACACAGAAAUCCACCCUGCAGGAGACUUCCUCACCCCUCAAAGUGAGGUCUGAAGGAACCUGAAUGUGCUCAGCUUUUCUCGGGGGCACAGCCUCUCGGCCUCAGCCCAGACCACCCCCUGUGGGCAGCAGGACACCGCUGCUCAGAGCCGGGACAGGCAGGAGACAGUGCUGCCGGUGCCUUGCUGUCCAGAGGGGUUGAGGAGAGCUGCUACCCUUCCCUCCACGCAGGAAAAUGCAUGCUCAGCAAGGUCUCUGUGCGUUCUACGAACGUACCAAUGUGUGCUCACCUUCGGUGCAUGUUAAGGCUUCGUCCUUUUCUUAAAUAGCUACGUUAAAUAUCUGUUUUCUCUGUAUAUGGCAUCCUUUUAGAUGGGCUUCUUUGCAUAUAUUCAUGGUAUAUACACAAACACCGUAUUUUAUAUAUAUUAUAUAUCACUUGUAUGUACACAUUUACAAACCUUCAAAAAUAUAUUGCACUUAUAUACAAUAUAGCUUCAUCUGAUGAGAGUUCACACAGUUACUAAGGCGAGUUCUUCAUAAGCAAGGCAGUAUUACAUCCCCCCCCAACGACACAAGUGAUUUCAACAACCUGCCCUGAUAGAGUAAACAUUAUGAUGACUUUUCUCCGACCUGCACGCAAUUCCUACCAGUUUCAGUCAGUAGUUUUGCAGCUCUACCUAACAGAAAACAGUCCAGUAAAACGCUAUUAGCUGAUAACGGGCUCAAUCGUGGGUACCGAAUAGAUAAAUAAGACAUCACCGCUCUAAAAGGCCACCUUCCAAGGGUUUCCCCUUCCCUUAUCUAUUAGUCUUUUAUACAUGCUCUAUUUAAUUGCUGUUCUUUGCUCACCGGUUUCAAGUGCAAAUAAGGCCAUGAGCAUUACAACGUUCUCUAGAAAGAACA
Gallus gallus (chicken) is the source of this 2793-nucleotide long non-coding RNA. RefSeq lists it as uncharacterized. The record is from RefSeq and is a predicted model, not a curated record. Lineage: Eukaryota; Metazoa; Chordata; Aves; Galliformes; Phasianidae. The transcript has 2 exons.